Non-coding RNA from Nippostrongylus brasiliensis, 72 nucleotides. The record is from Rfam. Lineage: Eukaryota; Metazoa; Nematoda; Chromadorea; Rhabditida; Heligmosomidae.
ACAUCUGUAGCACAGUGGUUAGUGCAGUCUGCCGGAAUCAGAAAGACGCGGGUUCAAUUCCCGUCCGAUGUC